RNAcentral lists this ribosomal RNA (172 nucleotides) under Salmostoma sardinella. RNAcentral describes it as "partial 12S rRNA". Lineage: Eukaryota; Metazoa; Chordata; Actinopteri; Cypriniformes; Danionidae. The record is from RNAcentral.
AACCGCGGUUAGACGAGAGGCCCCAGUUGAUUAACCCACGGCGUAAAGGGUGGUUAUGGGUAAUUAAUAAUAAAGCCGAAGGACCCCUUGGCUGUCAUACGCUCCUGGGGGCCCGAAGCCCACACGCGAAAGUAGCUUUAGUAAAUAACCUGAACCCACGAAAGCUAAGAAA